GGUGAGUUUGGCUGCUAGGGUGGA
This 24-nucleotide non-coding RNA is filed under the name Rattus norvegicus (Norway rat). Lineage: Eukaryota; Metazoa; Chordata; Mammalia; Rodentia; Muridae. The record is from RNAcentral.